RNAcentral lists this transfer RNA (86 nucleotides) under human gut metagenome. It matches the Rfam family "tRNA". Rfam says of the family: Transfer RNA (tRNA) molecules are approximately 80 nucleotides in length. The record is from RNAcentral.
GAGAGAUGGCUGAGUGGUCUAAGGCGCACGACUGGAAAUCGUGUGUACGUUAAUAGCGUACCAUGGGUUCAAAUCCCAUUCUCUCC